UCUCGAAUAGUAUAGUGGUCAGUAUUUCGGCUUGUCAAGCAAUGUCAAUUCGCCGGAGGCCGGGGUAAGUUCUACCACACACACACAAGUCCCACCUUGUUCAUGUGACUGACAAGCGUCCAGGUUCGAUUCCCCGUUCGAGAG
Paraphoma chrysanthemicola is the source of this 144-nucleotide non-coding RNA. The record is from the annotation of a GenBank genome assembly. Lineage: Eukaryota; Fungi; Ascomycota; Dothideomycetes; Pleosporales; Phaeosphaeriaceae.